GACGAACGCUGGCGGCGUGCCUAACACAUGCAAGUCGUGCGGUCUCGCCUUAAGCGAAAGGCCUUCGGGCUUUGAAGCAAAGGCGAGAUAGCGGCGGACGGGUGAGUAACGCGUGGCUUAUCUGUCCCAGGGAGGGGGAUAACGUCUGGAAACGGGCGCUAAUACCCCAUAUGCCGAAAGGUAAAAAGGAGAGAUCCGCCCUGGGGUGAGGCCGCGUCCUAUCAGCUCGUUGGUGAGGUAACGGCCCACCAAGGCUAUGACGGGUAGCCGGCCUGAGAGGGCGGCUGGCCACACUGGGAUUGAGAUACGGCCCAGACUCCUACGGGAGGCAGCAGUGGGGAAUAUUGGGCAAUGGGGGAAACCCUGACCCAGCGACGCCGCGUGGAGGAAGGAGCCCUUCGGGGUGUAAACUCCUGUUGUAAGGGAAGAAGACAGUGACGGUACCUUACGAGGAAGCCCCGGCAAACUACGUG
Molecule: ribosomal RNA, 473 nt
Filed under: uncultured bacterium
Lineage: Bacteria
Also listed under: 1 other name
Description: bacterial SSU rRNA
Rfam family: Bacterial small subunit ribosomal RNA
Source: RNAcentral